Molecule: ribosomal RNA, 492 nt
Filed under: uncultured bacterium
Lineage: Bacteria
Description: partial 16S ribosomal RNA
Rfam family: Bacterial small subunit ribosomal RNA
Source: RNAcentral
AGUGAACGCUGGCGGUAGGCCUAACACAUGCAAGUCGAACGGCAGCACAGUAAGAUCUUGCUCUUACGGGUGGCGAGUGGCGGACGGGUGAGGAAUACAUCGGAAUCUACUUUUUCGUGGGGGAUAACGUAGGGAAACUUACGCUAAUACCGCAUACGACCUACGGGUGAAAGCAGGGGAUCUUCGGACCUUGCGCGAUUGAAUUAGCCGAUGUCGGAUUAGCUAGUUGGCGGGGUAAAGGCCCACCAAGGCGACGAUCCGUAGCUGGUCUGAGAGGAUGAUCAGCCACACUGGAACUGAGACACGGUCCAGACUCCUACGGGAGGCAGCAGUGGGGAAUAUUGGACAAUGGGCGAAAGCCUGAUCCAGCCAUACCGCGUGAGUGAAGAAGGCCUUCGGGUUGUAAAGCCCUUUUGUUGGGAAAGAAAAGCAGCAGGUUAAUACCCCGCUGUUCUGACGGUACCCAAAGAAUAAGCACCGGCUAACUUCGUG